This 229-nucleotide ribosomal RNA is filed under the name uncultured bacterium. Its description in RNAcentral is "partial 16S ribosomal RNA". It matches the Rfam family "Bacterial small subunit ribosomal RNA", at positions 88 to 334 of the family's 1533-position model. The record is from RNAcentral.
GCGGGGAGCGGCGAACGGCUGAGUAACACGUUGGUAACUGCCCCAGACUCAGGGAUAACAUUUAGAAAUAAAUGCUAAUACCGGAUAGUCCCGCAAGGGUAAAGCUUUUGCGGUCUGGGAGGUGCCUGCGGCCUAUCAGCUUGUUGGUGAGGUAAAAGCUCACCAAGGCUUUGACGGGUAGCUGGUCUGAGAGGAUGAUCAGCCAGAAUGGAACUGAGACACGGUCCAU